Molecule: non-coding RNA, 90 nt
Organism: Mycena galericulata
Lineage: Eukaryota; Fungi; Basidiomycota; Agaricomycetes; Agaricales; Mycenaceae
Source: the annotation of a GenBank genome assembly
CACUCGGUAGCACAUGGUGUGCGUCUGCAGGAUAUGUGUGCUCGAAAGAUGUUUCCGCAGAAGGUCCCUGUUCGAUUCGGGGUCGAGUGA